This 909-nucleotide ribosomal RNA is filed under the name Triticum aestivum (bread wheat). Its description in RNAcentral is "partial small subunit ribosomal RNA". The record is from RNAcentral. Lineage: Eukaryota; Viridiplantae; Streptophyta; Magnoliopsida; Poales; Poaceae.
AUGGCCUUGGCCUCCUUCGCGGUCUCGCCCCCAAUCGCCGCCGUCCUCCGCCGCGCCAUGUCGUUCUCCUCAGUCUCCGCUGCGUCGCAGGCGAGGGUGGGUGUGGUACAGAUGACCUCCGUGGGGGACCUCGACGCCAACUACGCCACCUGCUCCCGCCUCACCAAGGAAGCUGCUGCGGCUGGAGUCAAAUUUCUUUGCUUCCCUGAGGUCUUCUCCUUCAUAGGAUCCAAGGAUGGCGAGUCUGUUAAGCUAGCCGAACCAUUAGAUGGUCCAAUAAUGCAGAGAUAUUGCUCACUUGCAAAUGAGUCAAGUAUGUGGUUGUCUCUUGGAGGGUUUCAAGAAAGGGGCCCGGAUGAUUCGCACCAGUACAACACUCAUGUAUUAAUCGAUGAAUCUGGAAAAGUUAGGAGCUCAUACCGGAAAAUUCAUUUGUUUGAUGUGGAUGUACCUGGCAACAUGGUGUAUAAGGAAAGCCGUUUCACGACAGCAGGUGAUACCGUCGUAGUGGUGGAUAGCCCUUUUGGACGAUUGGGCCUUACUGUUUGCUAUGAUUUGAGAUUUCCAGAGCUUUACCAAUGUUUGCGUUUUAAGCAUCAAGCUCAGGUCUUGCUCGUACCAUCUGCAUUCACAAAGGUAACUGGGGAAGCACACUGGGAAAUUCUCCUUCGUGCUCGUGCAAUUGAGACACAAUGUUAUGUUAUUGCUGCGGCUCAAGCUGGAAAACACAAUGAGAAAAGAGAAAGCUACGGCGAUUCUAUAAUUAUUGACCCAUGGGGAACAGUUAUAGCUCGACUUCCAGAUCGACUGUUCACUGGAUUUGCAGUAGCAGAUAUCGACUUGUCAAAAGUUGAGGCUGUGCGAAGCAAAAUGCCAAUCUCUGAGCACCGCAAGUUUGAGAGCAUCUGA